UACGUAGGGGGCUAGCGUUGUCCGGAAUCAUUGGGCGUAAAGAGCGUGUAGGCGGUCCGGUAAGUCCGUUGUGAAAGUCGGGGGCUCAACCCUCGAAUGCCGGUGGAUACUGUCGGGCUAGAGUGCGGAAGAGGCGAGUGGAAUUCCUGGUGUAGCGGUGAAAUGCGCAGAUAUCAGGAGGAACACCUAUUGCGAAGGCAGCUCGCUGGGACGUAACUGACGCUAAGGAGCGAAAGCGUGGGGAGCGAACAGG
This 253-nucleotide ribosomal RNA is filed under the name uncultured bacterium. RNAcentral describes it as "partial 16S ribosomal RNA". It matches the Rfam family "Bacterial small subunit ribosomal RNA", at positions 524 to 776 of the family's 1533-position model. The record is from RNAcentral.